GACGAACGCUGGCGGCGUGCCUAAUACAUGCAAGUCGAGCGGAAUGAUGAAGAAGCUUGCUUCUUCUGAUUUUAGCGGCGGACGGGUGAGUAACACGUGGGCAACCUACCUUGUAGAUUGGGAUAACUCCGGGAAACCGGGGCUAAUACCGAAUAAUCCAUUUUGCUUCAUGGCGAGAUGUUAAAAGGCGGUUUCGGCUGUCACUACAAGAUGGGCCCGCGGCGCAUUAGCUAGUUGGUAGGGUAAUGGCCUACCAAGGCGACGAUGCGUAGCCGACCUGAGAGGGUGAUCGGCCACACUGGGACUGAGACACGGCCCAGACUCCUACGGGAGGCAGCAGUAGGGAAUCUUCCACAAUGGACGAAAGUCUGAUGGAGCAACGCCGCGUGAGUGAAGAAGGUUUUCGGAUCGUAAAACUCUGUUAUUAGGGAAGAAUACGUACGAGAGUAACUGCUCGUACCUUGACGGUACCUAACCAGAAAGCCACGGCUAACUACGUG
RNAcentral lists this ribosomal RNA (500 nucleotides) under uncultured bacterium. RNAcentral describes it as "bacterial SSU rRNA". It matches the Rfam family "Bacterial small subunit ribosomal RNA", at positions 28 to 507 of the family's 1533-position model. The record is from RNAcentral.